Apis cerana (Asiatic honeybee) is the source of this 503-nucleotide long non-coding RNA. RefSeq lists it as uncharacterized. The record is from RefSeq and is a predicted model, not a curated record. NCBI's taxonomy places the organism in Eukaryota, Metazoa, Arthropoda, Insecta, Hymenoptera, Apidae.
CCUGUUUAUAUAAUAUUUACAGUUAUACAAUUUACAACUUUAGAAAUAUAUCCUGAAGAAAUGUUGCAUCUUAAUUUCAAAAUUUAUCGUUUACAGUAGAUAAUUUCUCUUCGGUGAUCAUCAUCGAUUGUUCCCUACAGCGAAAUUCGAUAUUUAAUAAAUCCGAUCGUAUUCAAGCUUGGAAAUGUUGAACACGCUCGUAUUUAGUUUCACCUCUGUUUCGCAUAAAUUGUCUCGUGUCCACGCGCGGUACGCGCGAUAAAUCCACGAGUGCCGGCUGACACGCGUCUUUCCCUCUGUCGUAAAGCAAUUAAAGUGACGAGAAUGAUGCAGAGACAUGUGAUACGUCUGCGAGCUAUGGUUUUACAAACUUGAAAAUGUCGGAGCCCCAUUAAAUUCGAAGCAGAUGCAUAUAAAAGAAAUAUGUCCAUUUCAUAAAUUACAUGAUAAUAUAAACCGAAAUUACUGAUCCUUAUGUAAUCGUGAAUUUGAUGGGCCAAAAU